Molecule: ribosomal RNA, 422 nt
Filed under: uncultured bacterium
Lineage: Bacteria
Description: bacterial SSU rRNA
Rfam family: Bacterial small subunit ribosomal RNA
Source: RNAcentral
UGGGGAAUAUUGGGCAAUGGGCGAAAGCCUGACCCAGCAACGCCGCGUGAGUGAAGAAGGCUUUCGGGUUGUAAAGCUCUGUUAUAGGGGACGAAGUCGUGACGGUACCCUAUAAGGAAGCCCCGGCUAACUACGUGCCAGCAGCCGCGGUAAUACGUAGGGGGCGAGCGUUGUCCGGAAUGACUGGGCGUAAAGGGCGUGUAGGCGGCUAAAUAAGUCUGGAGUGAAAGUCCUGCAUUCAAUGUGGGAAUUGCUUUGGAUACUGUUAAGCUUGAGUGCGGAAGAGGUAAGUGGAAUUCCCAGUGUAGCGGUGAAAUGCGUAGAGAUUGGGAGGAACACCAGUGGCGAAGGCGACUUACUGGGCCGUAACUGACGCUGAGGCGCGAAAGCGUGGGGAGCGAACAGGAUUAGAUACCCUGGUA